RNAcentral lists this transfer RNA (71 nucleotides) under Camelus bactrianus (Bactrian camel). It matches the Rfam family "tRNA". From Rfam's summary of the family: Transfer RNA (tRNA) molecules are approximately 80 nucleotides in length. Their secondary structure includes four short double-helical elements and three loops (D, anti-codon, and T loops). Lineage: Eukaryota; Metazoa; Chordata; Mammalia; Artiodactyla; Camelidae. RNAcentral also lists the same sequence under 3 other names. The record is from Rfam by way of RNAcentral.
GAGGGUAUAACUCAGUGGUAGAGUGCGUGCUUAGCGUGCACAAGGUCCUGGGUUCAAUCCCAGCACUUCUG